RNAcentral lists this ribosomal RNA (292 nucleotides) under uncultured bacterium. RNAcentral's name for it is "partial 16S ribosomal RNA". It matches the Rfam family "Bacterial small subunit ribosomal RNA", at positions 505 to 796 of the family's 1533-position model. The record is from RNAcentral.
GUGCCAGCAGCCGCGGUAAUACGGAGGGGGCAAGCGUUGUUCGGAAUCAUUGGGCGUAAAGGGCGCGUAGGCGGCCGAACAAGUCGGGUGUGAAAUCCCUCGGCUCAACCGAGGAACUGCACUCGAUACUGUUUGGCUAGAGUCCGGGAGGGGAUGGUGGAAUUCCCAGUGUAGCGGUGAAAUGCGUAGAUAUUGGGAAGAACACCGGUGGCGAAGGCGGCCAUCUGGACCGGCACUGACGCUGAGGCGCGAAAGCCAGGGGAGCGAAUGGGAUUAGAUACCCUUGUAGUCC